UACAGAGGUCCCAAGCGUUGUUCGGAUUCACUGGGCGUAAAGGGUGCGUAGGUGGUCGGGUAAGUCUAAUGUGAAAUCUCCGAGCUUAACUCGGAAACUGCAUCGGAUACUAUUCGGCUCGAGGGUUGGAGGGGGGACUGGAAUACUUGGUGUAGCAGUGAAAUGCGUAGAUAUCAAGUGGAACACCAGUGGCGAAGGCGAGUCCCUGGACAACUCCUGACACUGAGGCACGAAAGCCAGGGGAGCGAACGGG
Molecule: ribosomal RNA, 253 nt
Filed under: uncultured bacterium
Lineage: Bacteria
Description: partial 16S ribosomal RNA
Rfam family: Bacterial small subunit ribosomal RNA
Source: RNAcentral